Molecule: ribosomal RNA, 484 nt
Filed under: uncultured bacterium
Lineage: Bacteria
Description: partial 16S ribosomal RNA
Rfam family: Bacterial small subunit ribosomal RNA
Source: RNAcentral
AUUGAACGCUGGCGGCAGGCCUAACACAUGCAAGUCGAGCGGAGGAAGGGAGCUUGCUCCUGGAUUCAGCGGCGGACGGGUGAGUAAUGCCUAGGAAUCUGCCUGGUAGUGGGGGAUAACGUCCGGAAACGGGCGCUAAUACCGCAUACGUCCUGAGGGAGAAAGUGGGGGAUCUUCGGACCUCACGCUAUCAGAUGAGCCUAGGUCGGAUUAGCUAGUUGGUGGGGUAAAGGCCUACCAAGGCGACGAUCCGUAACUGGUCUGAGAGGAUGAUCAGUCACACUGGAACUGAGACACGGUCCAGACUCCUAAGGGAGGCAGCAGUGGGGAAUUUUGGACAAUGGGCGAAAUCCUGCUCCAGCCAUGCCGCGUGUGUGAAGAAGGUCUUCGGAUUGUAAAGCACUUUAAGUUGGGAGGAAGGGCAGUAAGUUAAUACCUUGCUGUUUUGACGUUACCAACAGAAUAAGCACCGGCUAACUUCGUG